GAUGAACGCUGGCGGCGUGCCUAAUACAUGCAAGUCGAGCGAACGGACGAGAAGCUUGCUUUUCUGAUGUUAGCGGCGGACGGGUGAGUAACACGUGGAUAACCUACCUAUAAGACUGGGAUAACUUCGGGAAACCGGAGCUAAUACCGGAUAAUAUUUUGAACCGCAUGGUUCAAAAGUGAAAGACGGUCUUUCUGUCACUUAUAGAUGGAUCCGCGCUGCAUUAGCUAGUUGGUAAGGUAACGGCUUACCAAGGCAACGAUGCAUAGCCGACCUGAGAGGGUGAUCGGCCACACUGGAACUGAGACACGGUCCAGACUCCUACGGGAGGCAGCAGUAGGGAAUCUUCCGCAAUGGGCGAAAGCCUGACGGAGCAACGCCGCGUGAGUGAUGAAGGUCUUCGGAUCGUAAAACUCUGUUAUUAGGGAAGAACAUAUGUGUAAGUAACUGUGCACAUCUUGACGGUACCUAAUCAGAAAGCCACGGCUAACUACGUG
RNAcentral lists this ribosomal RNA (497 nucleotides) under uncultured bacterium. RNAcentral describes it as "partial 16S ribosomal RNA". It matches the Rfam family "Bacterial small subunit ribosomal RNA", at positions 28 to 507 of the family's 1533-position model. The record is from RNAcentral.